Molecule: ribosomal RNA, 376 nt
Filed under: uncultured bacterium
Lineage: Bacteria
Description: bacterial SSU rRNA
Rfam family: Bacterial small subunit ribosomal RNA
Source: RNAcentral
UAAUACGGAGGGGGCUAGCGUUGUUCGGAAUUACUGGGCGUAAAGCGUACGUAGGCGGCUCGGCAAGUCAGAGGUGAAAGCCCAGGGCUCAACCCUGGAUGUGCCUUUGAAACUGCUGAGCUUGAAUGCGGGAGAGGUGAGUGGAAUUCCGAGUGUAGAGGUGAAAUUCGUAGAUAUUCGGAAGAACACCAGUGGCGAAGGCGACUCACUGGACCGCUAUUGACGCUGAGGUACGAAAGCGUGGGGAGCAAACAGGAUUAGAUACCCUGGUAGUCCACGCCGUAAACGAUGAGAACUAGCUGUCGGGGCACUUGGUGCUUCGGUGGCGCAGCUAACGCGUUAAGUUCUCCGCCUGGGGAGUACGGCCGCAAGGUUA